ACAGGUGGAAAUCCACCAGACAGAAGAAGAGAACUUCAAGGCACCAUAUGUAGCAGCAAAUUCCACAGGAAGUUGAAACCAGGGCUUCACUCACACCUUGUCUACUAUCAGUAAAAUGAUCCCUUUUAGGACCAGUUCUGUGUUUACAACCACACUGAGGAGCCCAAGUCUUGCCUUUAAAACUGAAUUUAAUGCUUCGCUGCUUUGAGUGCAGGCUAUCGACGUGCCAUUAUUGAACUCAGAUUAUAAUCGUCCAAAUGUAUCAAAGAUCUGGAUGAGCGUUUCAGCAGUUGAUAAGCUAAGAAUACUUUGUCCUCGUAAUCCUUUGAUUUACCAUCUGAUUUGGUAUCAGGAGUGUGGGCCAGGCAUGCAGCCAAAGCCAGGAUCCAGAGUGCUUGUAACUGAAUGUUUUGGCUUCUUCUGAACAGAACAUACUGAACAAAACAAGCUGGAACUUACUUACACUGAAGUUGUUACAUCAUUGCCAGUAGACUUAGUGGUAUCCAGAUUUCUUUGUUAACCAUAGGACAUCUGUGACCCUAUCCCGUGCAAAUAGAGUGGACUCGACAAAGUUGAAAGUAUGAGAAUAAUGUGAGGAUGUGUCAUCCAGACUCAUUUUAGUGUCAGAUAUAACAUCAAGGCUAUGAAGCAGUCUGGUUUAACCUUAGACUGUUUCCAACUGUUGGAAAUGGAAUCAAUGGCAAAAAUGAGGACAUGAAUUGAAAACCACAGUUUGAUGGAAAAGUUGGAGGAGAUUUCCAUUCAUCCCGUACUGGUGCGAAGAGAGCAGUGAGGUACAAAGUGCGAAGAAAUUGAAAGAGCUGUUAGUAAAGUACUGUGGGAUUUCACCAGCAUAUCUGUGGAAACUAAAAUUAUAUCUUGUUAUGAUACUAGUCCUCUCAAAGUCUUGUCAAACGCAACUUUCCCCACCUUUAUUGAAUGCAACAGUUACAUUUAUUUAGCGAUGCUGUGCCGAGUAGGUCCUGCCUGCCCUUUGAGCAGCACCACCCGAGCAACCCCUGACAAACCUGACUUAACCCUAACCUAAUCACGGGACAAUUUACAAUGACUAAUUGACCUGUCCAGUAUGUCUUUGGACUGUUGGUGCAAACCAGAGCACCCGGAGAAAACUCACACAUUCCAUGAGGAGGACAAAUAGACUCCUUACAGGGGAUACUGGGAUUGUACUCCAAAUUCUGAUGCCCUAAACUGUAAAGAGUCCCACUAACUGCAACACUACCGUGGCAAUACUGCAAAAGGCUGCAUAUAUAUCAGAGACAGAAGGUUCAAAGUACAUAUAAAGUAUGUUACUAUAUUCUACCAUUCAUCUACGAUGGACUUUUAAUACCUCUAUUGUCAUUACUAACUUCAAAAUAUCACCGGAUGUCCGCUUAAAGUUUCAAUUGACUUCAACACCUCUAUUAUGAAUGUCAAUUGAUCUUGUGAGUAAGGAAUUCAACCAUUUACAAUUUACAGUAAUUAAUAUCCAUAACUUAUAAGCCAACUCUGUAUCAAAAUAGUAGUUUUCGGUUCAGACUUCAGAACACUGUGAGUGACAGGGGCCCAUGCAGUUCUCCUUGUGCACAAGUAGAUAAAAAGAAUGAUAGAGUUGUAAGAGAGCAUGUGUUCUGGGCACAGUUAUCCUAAUGUUGGCAAUAGCGCAAUCCAACAAAUGGUGUGAGUGAUUGUCUUGGACGGUUUUCUUGGUGAUUGAAAGACCAGGCUGGGCGUUGGUAAUGUGGAAUACUGCACAUACGGUACACUGGUUCAUUGGCAAGACUGACAGGGUAGCUGCUUGGCCUCGGUUUUAGCACGGACCAAGGUUUCAUGCCACAGGGUUGUCUGUUGCAGCCGCCCUGGGGAAGAGACGCUGGAGGCGGUGUGGCACGACGUCCAUGCUGGGUGGGGGCUGGCCCCUCCCGUCGGUGGUGCUCUCCGGUGUUUGCUCAGUGGAAGACAAGCUGAAUUGCGUUUCUCUGAUGCUGGACUUCUUUAGCACAUGAUGAUUGGACUGUUACAGGCUUGUUCUUGCUGACAACAUCUGCACCAUCAAUCUACUGGCCAUGACAUCAUGGCACUCACGGACUUGAGAUAUAUUCUUAGCUUUGUGUGACAGUAUGUUUACUGCUAUCUUAUAUGUGCUAUAUGUACCUUGUGCUCUGUAUGAUUGGUGGUACUGUGUUUGCACCUUCACCCUGGAGGAACACUAUUUCAUU
Molecule: long non-coding RNA, 2216 nt
Organism: Hypanus sabinus (Atlantic stingray)
Lineage: Eukaryota; Metazoa; Chordata; Chondrichthyes; Myliobatiformes; Dasyatidae
Exons: 3
Source: RefSeq, a predicted model, not a curated record